Molecule: ribosomal RNA, 242 nt
Filed under: uncultured bacterium
Lineage: Bacteria
Description: partial 16S ribosomal RNA
Rfam family: Bacterial small subunit ribosomal RNA
Source: RNAcentral
GGCGAGUGGCGAACGGGUGAGUAAUGCAUCGGAACGUACCGAGUAAUGGGGGAUAACUGUCCGAAAGGAUGGCUAAUACCGCAUACGCUCUGAGGAGGAAAGCGGGGGACCUUUUAGGCCUCGCGUUAUUCGAGCGGCCGAUGUCCGAUUAGCUAGUUGGUGGGGUAAAGGCCUACCAAGGCGACGAUCGGUAGCUGGUCUGAGAGGAUGAUCAGCCACACUGGAACUGAGACACGGUCCAG